Molecule: ribosomal RNA, 492 nt
Filed under: uncultured bacterium
Lineage: Bacteria
Description: partial 16S ribosomal RNA
Rfam family: Bacterial small subunit ribosomal RNA
Source: RNAcentral
AGUGAACGCUGGCGGUAGGCCUAACACAUGCAAGUCGAACGGCAGCACAGUAAGAGCUUGCUCUUACGGGUGGCGAGUGGCGGACGAGUGAGGAAUACAUCGGAAUCUACUUUUUCGUGGGGGAUAACGUAGGGAAACUUACGCUAAUACCGCAUACGACCUACGGGUGAAAGCAGGGGAUCUUCGGACCUUGCGCGAUUGAAUGAGCCGAUGUCGGAUUAGCUAGUUGGCGGGGUAAAGGCCCACCAAGGCGACGAUCCGUAGCUGGUCUGAGAGGAUGAUCAGCCACACUGGAACUGAGACACGGUCCAGACUCCUACGGGAGGCAGCAGUGGGGAAUAUUGGACAAUGGGCGCAAGCCUGAUCCAGCCAUACCGCGUGGGUGAAGAAGGCCUUCGGGUUGUAAAGCCCUUUUGUUGGGAAAGAAAAGCAGCAGGUUAAUACCCCGCUAUUCUGACGGUACCCAAAGAAUAAGCACCGGCUAACUUCGUG